This 253-nucleotide ribosomal RNA is filed under the name uncultured bacterium. Its description in RNAcentral is "partial 16S ribosomal RNA". It matches the Rfam family "Bacterial small subunit ribosomal RNA", at positions 524 to 776 of the family's 1533-position model. The record is from RNAcentral.
UACGUAGGGACCAAGCGUUGUUCGGAUUUACUGGGCGUAAAGGGCGCGUAGGCGGCGCGGUAAGUCACUUGUGAAAUCUCUGAGCUUAACUCAGAACGGCCAAGUGAUACUGCAGUGCUAGAGUGUGGAAGGGGCAAUCGGAAUUCCCGGUGUAGCGGUGAAAUGCGUAGAGAUCGGGAGGAACACCAGAGGCGAAGGCGGCGACCUGGACAGUGACUGACACUCAACUGCGAAAGCGUGGGGAGCAAACAGG